CACGCCUCCACUAAACAUAUCCUCUCAGGGAUUUUACCGCCAUUUUCUUUCACAGGAGGACUGAAGAGAUCAGAUGCUAGUUUGGUGAAAGUACACACUGAGUGCUUCAAAUCAUUCAGAAGAGAUGCUGUUUUUAGGGCAGUUUAUUAAAGAAGACCUGACAUGGAUGACUUCCAAUGAGAAACGACUGCUAAUACUUAUAUAAAUUCAUUACAGAAGGACCCUACCAGACUAUAUUUAUAUACGGCAUACCCAUGAAUUCUGGAACUGUUAUUCCUUAACCCAGUUUGGAGGAUAAGAGCA
Non-coding RNA from Paramisgurnus dabryanus, 303 nucleotides. The record is from RefSeq and is a predicted model, not a curated record. NCBI's taxonomy places the organism in Eukaryota, Metazoa, Chordata, Actinopteri, Cypriniformes, Cobitidae.